GGGUUGUGAGGUUAAGCGACUAAGCGUACACGGUGGAUGCCCUGGCAGUCAGAGGCGAUGAAGGACGUGCUAAUCUGCGAUAAGCGUCGGUGAGGUGAUAUGAACCGUUAUAACCGGCGAUUUCCGAAUGGGGAAACCCAGUGUGUUUCGACACACUAUCAUUAACUGAAUCCAUAGGUUAAUGAGGCGAACCGGGGGAACUGAAACAUCUAAGUACCCCGAGGAAAAGAAAUCAACCGAGAUUCCCCCAGUAGCGGCGAGCGAACGGGGAGGAGCCCAGAGCCUGAAUCAGUGUGUGUGUUAGUGGAAGCGUCUGGAAAGGCGUGCGAUACAGGGUGACAGCCCCGUACACAAAAAUGCACAUAUUGUGAGCUCGAUGAGUAGGGCGGGACACGUGGUAUCCUGUCUGAAUAUGGGGGGACCAUCCUCCAAGGCUAAAUACUCCUGACUGACCGAUAGUGAACCAGUACCGUGAGGGAAAGGCGAAAAGAACCCCGGCGAGGGGAGUGAAAAAGAACCUGAAACCGUGUACGUACAAGCAGUGGGAGCCUCUUAAUGGGGUGACUGCGUACCUUUUGUAUAAUGGGUCAGCGACUUAUAUUCUGUAGCAAGGUUAACCGAAUAGGGGAGCCGAAGGGAAACCGAGUCUUAACUGGGCGUUAAGUUGCAGGGUAUAGACCCGAAACCCGGUGAUCUAGCCAUGGGCAGGUUGAAGGUUGGGUAACACUAACUGGAGGACCGAACCGACUAAUGUUGAAAAAUUAGCGGAUGACUUGUGGCUGGGGGUGAAAGGCCAAUCAAACCGGGAGAUAGCUGGUUCUCCCCGAAAGCUAUUUAGGUAGCGCCUCGUGAAUUCAUCUCCGGGGGUAGAGCACUGUUUCGGCAAGGGGGUCAUCCCGACUUACCAACCCGAUGCAAACUGCGAAUACCGGAGAAUGUUAUCACGGGAGACACACGGCGGGUGCUAACGUCCGUCGUGAAGAGGGAAACAACCCAGACCGCCAGCUAAGGUCCCAAAGUCAUGGUUAAGUGGGAAACGAUGUGGGAAGGCCCAGACAGCCAGGAUGUUGGCUUAGAAGCAGCCAUCAUUUAAAGAAAGCGUAAUAGCUCACUGGUCGAGUCGGCCUGCGCGGAAGAUGUAACGGGGCUAAACCAUGCACCGAAGCUGCGGCAGCGACACUAUGUGUUGUUGGGUAGGGGAGCGUUCUGUAAGCCUGUGAAGGUGGCCUGUGAGGGUUGCUGGAGGUAUCAGAAGUGCGAAUGCUGACAUAAGUAACGAUAAAGCGGGUGAAAAGCCCGCUCGCCGGAAGACCAAGGGUUCCUGUCCAACGUUAAUCGGGGCAGGGUGAGUCGACCCCUAAGGCGAGGCCGAAAGGCGUAGUCGAUGGGAAACAGGUUAAUAUUCCUGUACUUGGUGUUACUGCGAAGGGGGGACGGAGAAGGCUAUGUUGGCCGGGCGACGGUUGUCCCGGUUUAAGCGUGUAGGCUGGUUUUCCAGGCAAAUCCGGAAAACCAAGGCUGAGGCGUGAUGACGAGGCACUACGGUGCUGAAGCGACAAAUGCCCUGCUUCCAGGAAAAGCCUCUAAGCAUCAGGUAACAUCAAAUCGUACCCCAAACCGACACAGGUGGUCAGGUAGAGAAUACCAAGGCGCUUGAGAGAACUCGGGUGAAGGAACUAGGCAAAAUGGUGCCGUAACUUCGGGAGAAGGCACGCUGAUAUGUAGGUGAAGCGACUUGCUCGUGGAGCUGAAAUCAGUCGAAGAUACCAGCUGGCUGCAACUGUUUAUUAAAAACACAGCACUGUGCAAACACGAAAGUGGACGUAUACGGUGUGACGCCUGCCCGGUGCCGGAAGGUUAAUUGAUGGGGUUAGCGGUAACGCGAAGCUCUUGAUCGAAGCCCCGGUAAACGGCGGCCGUAACUAUAACGGUCCUAAGGUAGCGAAAUUCCUUGUCGGGUAAGUUCCGACCUGCACGAAUGGCGUAAUGAUGGCCAGGCUGUCUCCACCCGAGACUCAGUGAAAUUGAACUCGCUGUGAAGAUGCAGUGUACCCGCGGCAAGACGGAAAGACCCCGUGAACCUUUACUAUAGCUUGACACUGAACAUUGAGCCUUGAUGUGUAGGAUAGGUGGGAGGCUUUGAAGUGUGGACGCCAGUCUGCAUGGAGCCGACCUUGAAAUACCACCCUUUAAUGUUUGAUGUUCUAACGUUGGCCCGUAAUCCGGGUUGCGGACAGUGUCUGGUGGGUAGUUUGACUGGGGCGGUCUCCUCCUAAAGAGUAACGGAGGAGCACGAAGGUUGGCUAAUCCUGGUCGGACAUCAGGAGGUUAGUGCAAUGGCAUAAGCCAGCUUGACUGCGAGCGUGACGGCGCGAGCAGGUGCGAAAGCAGGUCAUAGUGAUCCGGUGGUUCUGAAUGGAAGGGCCAUCGCUCAACGGAUAAAAGGUACUCCGGGGAUAACAGGCUGAUACCGCCCAAGAGUUCAUAUCGACGGCGGUGUUUGGCACCUCGAUGUCGGCUCAUCACAUCCUGGGGCUGAAGUAGGUCCCAAGGGUAUGGCUGUUCGCCAUUUAAAGUGGUACGCGAGCUGGGUUUAGAACGUCGUGAGACAGUUCGGUCCCUAUCUGCCGUGGGCGCUGGAGAACUGAGGGGGGCUGCUCCUAGUACGAGAGGACCGGAGUGGACGCAUCACUGGUGUUCGGGUUGUCAUGCCAAUGGCACUGCCCGGUAGCUAAAUGCGGAAGAGAUAAGUGCUGAAAGCAUCUAAGCACGAAACUUGCCCCGAGAUGAGUUCUCCCUGACUCCUUGAG
RNAcentral lists this ribosomal RNA (2810 nucleotides) under Escherichia coli. Its description in RNAcentral is "partial 23S ribosomal RNA". It matches the Rfam family "Bacterial large subunit ribosomal RNA". The record is from RNAcentral. Lineage: Bacteria; Pseudomonadati; Pseudomonadota; Gammaproteobacteria; Enterobacterales; Enterobacteriaceae.